Molecule: ribosomal RNA, 496 nt
Filed under: uncultured bacterium
Lineage: Bacteria
Description: partial 16S ribosomal RNA
Rfam family: Bacterial small subunit ribosomal RNA
Source: RNAcentral
GAUGAACGCUGGCGGCGUGCCUAAUACAUGCAAGUCGAGCGAACAGACGAGGAGCUUGCUCCUCUGACGUUAGCGGCGGACGGGUGAGUACACGUGGAUAACCUACCUAUAAGACUGGGAUAACUUCGGGAAACCGGAGCUAAUACCGGAUAACAUGUUGAACCGCAUGGUUCAACAGUGAAAGACGGUCUUGCUGUCGCUUAUAGAUGGAUCCGCGCCGCAUUAGCUAGUUGGUAAGGUAACGGCUUACCAAGGCAACGAUGCGUAGCCGACCUGAGAGGGUGAUCGGCAACACUGGAACUGAGACACGGUCCAGACUCCUACGGGAGGCAGCAGUAGGGAAUCUUCCGCAAUGGGCGAAAGCCUGACGGAGCAACGCCGCGUGAGUGAAGAAGGUCUUCGGAUCGUAAAACUCUGUUAUUAGGGAAGAACAAAUGUGUAAGUAACUAUGCACGUCUUGACGGUACCUAAUCAGAAAGCCACGGCUAACUACGUG